AAAGCCUGAAUUCCUCAUACCACACUGGGGCUGGGGCCAGAGACGGGGCAGGAGGAGCUCUUCUCAGCUGGCCACUGCCCCAACCCAGGCAUUUCACUGGGCGCAGUGCGGACAGGCUUCCGCUUUGGUCAUGGGGACAAGGUCCGCUAUCGCUGCUCCUCGAAUCUUGUGCUCACGGGGUCUUCGGAGCGGGAGUGCCAGGGCAACGGGGUCUGGAGUGGAACGGAGCCCAUCUGCCGCCAACCCUACUCUUAUGACUUCCCUGAGGACGUGGCCCCUGCCCUGGGCACUUCCUUCUCCCACAUGCUUGGGGCCACCAAUCCCACCCAGAAGACAAAGGAAAGCCUGGGCCGUAAAAUCCAAAUCCAGCGCUCUGGUCAUCUGAACCUCUACCUGCUCCUGGACUGUUCGCAGAGUGUGUCGGAAAAUGACUUUCUCAUCUUCAAGGAGAGCGCCUCCCUCAUGGUGGACAGGAUCUUCAGCUUUGAGAUCAAUGUGAGCGUUGCCAUUAUCACCUUUGCCUCAGAGCCCAAAGUCCUCAU
This 542-nucleotide unclassified non-coding RNA is filed under the name Homo sapiens (human). RNAcentral's name for it is "complement C2 (multiple genes)". Lineage: Eukaryota; Metazoa; Chordata; Mammalia; Primates; Hominidae. The record is from RNAcentral.